This 497-nucleotide ribosomal RNA is filed under the name uncultured bacterium. Its description in RNAcentral is "partial 16S ribosomal RNA". It matches the Rfam family "Bacterial small subunit ribosomal RNA", at positions 28 to 507 of the family's 1533-position model. The record is from RNAcentral.
GACGAACGCUGGCGGCGUGCCUAAUACAUGCAAGUUGAGCGCUGAAGGUUGGUACUUGUACCGACUGGAUGAGCAGCGAACGGGUGAGUAACGCGUGGGGAAUCUGCCUUUGAGCGGGGGACAACAUUUGGAAACGAAUGCUAAUACCGCAUAAAAACUUUAAACACAAGUUUUAAGUUUGAAAGAUGCAAUUGCAUCACUCAAAGAUGAUCCCGCGUUGUAUUAGCUAGUUGGUGAGGUAAAGGCUCACCAAGGCGAUGAUACAUAGCCGACCUGAGAGGGUGAUCGGCCACAAUGGGACUGAGACACGGCCCAAACUCCUACGGGAGGCAGCAGUAGGGAAUCUUCGGCAAUGGACGAAAGUCUGACCGAGCAACGCCGGGUGAGUGAAGAAGGUUGUCGGAUCGUAAAACUCUGUUGGUAGAGAAGAACGUUGGUGAGAGUGGAAAGCUCAUCAAGUGACGGUAACUACCCAGAAAGGGACGGCUAACUACGUG